CUGAUUCGUUGUUUGUCAGAGCUCUUGUGGAUAAUCAGACAUGGGGUGCAUGGCAAAAUUAGGACAGACUAAAGGCAGCAAUUCCGUGUUCGCCGUGCACUUUGAGGAGAAGACAUUGUCUUUGUAUAAGUACCCCUAUAAUCAUCUCUUUACAGCAGAGAUAAGGCCUUCAGGUAAUUUGUGAUGAUCUUUUUAGCAUUCUUAAUUAAUGACAUUUCUGAAGGGAGAUGAUCCUCAGCAUUUCAUAGUUAUUUUUUGUACUGUUGUAAUCUCAAAUUUCACAUUCAAACUUAACUUGUUAUCAAAUAAUUUUGGAAUAAAAUUUUACUUUUACCUGCCCUCCACAGAACCAAAGGUUCACGAGGACUUUUGUUGCUCUAAUGCUUCUUCUAUGACCAUCUCGCCGUUCGCCCUUGCAGAUAGAUAUGGCUGCAUAAAUCGCACCGAUGGAUCCAGUCCUUCGCUAGGUCCAACCUACCCCGCACCAGCCUCAAGCACGUGAGACACUGUUACCUUGUGUUCUAACUGGUUACCACAAUCAAAUCCAUUUUUGCCCAGUUAAAUUAGUUAGCUCAUUUUGUUGAUAAUUGAGUUGCAUUGGUAAUAUAUACUGAACUGUCUUUGGCAUUCUGUUUUGCAAUAUAUUCUAAUUGUCAUGAUUUUUGCUACAUUUUUGGUGUAGAUUUUAGGGACAUUAAUGUAGUGCUAAUGCCUUCCAUGCAGGUUAUUCAGUCAACGCAUAUUCUGUCUUUUGGCAUGUGUAUACUUGCUCUUGUGUUCAUGUUGUAA
This 789-nucleotide long non-coding RNA is filed under the name Triticum aestivum (bread wheat). RNAcentral describes it as "long non-coding RNA (TAES_LNC025144)". The record is from RNAcentral. Lineage: Eukaryota; Viridiplantae; Streptophyta; Magnoliopsida; Poales; Poaceae.